UACGUAGGGACCAAGCGUUGCUCGGAUUUACUGGGCGUAAAGGGCGCGUAGGCGGCUUAUCAAGUCACUUGUGAAAUCUCCGGGCUUAACUCGGAACGGCCAAGUGAAACUGUCAAGCUAGAGUGCAGAAGGGGCAAUCGGAAUUCUUGGUGUAGCGGUGAAAUGCGUAGAUAUCAAGAGGAACACCUGAGGUGAAGGCGGGUUGCUGGGCUGACACUGACGCUGAGGCGCGAAAGCCAGGGGAGCAAACGGG
RNAcentral lists this ribosomal RNA (253 nucleotides) under uncultured bacterium. RNAcentral's name for it is "partial 16S ribosomal RNA". It matches the Rfam family "Bacterial small subunit ribosomal RNA", at positions 524 to 776 of the family's 1533-position model. The record is from RNAcentral.